Molecule: RNA transcript, 3492 nt
Organism: Larimichthys crocea (large yellow croaker)
Lineage: Eukaryota; Metazoa; Chordata; Actinopteri; Sciaenidae
Gene name: coiled-coil domain-containing protein 158
Exons: 24
Source: RefSeq, a predicted model, not a curated record
AGGCAAAGAAAAGCGGAUGUUGACGCAUUAUUUCAAAGCGUCGGCGCUAACGUUACUUUAAUUUCAGUGUCAGCUUUACUUUCACCAAAUACAAGACUUACCCUAACCAGUCUGACAGCGUUAACCGAGUUAACUAACUAGCAGCGCCAAGAUGCGGCAAGUGAUUUGAUAGCAUAGCGCUAGCUAGGCGUUAGCCGCGGAUGCUGUUUCCAUGGUGAUGAAACUUUUAACGUUUAACGACGACAUGCUAGCUAGCAGCUGGUGUUAGAUAUAUAUAAACAUAUAUCCUAUUUAUUAGUUAGAGACUCCAACAGCUCGAUUACUCAUGUGAACAGAGAUGUCAUCGAGCUAUCGGGACUAUACAAAACCAACACACGCAGCAGCUGCUACAACUGAGACCCACAGCGCCUCUUCACGGCUGAGAUUCAACAGCCUGACACUGGAUGAAUUGAGUGAGGAGCUUGACAGACGCACCAAGGAAACCCAGAGGCUUCAGGAUGAGGUGGAAAAUGCAACCAAACUAACCUUGGAGAGGUUUGGUUGUGCAUAUGGUAUCCACGUCUCACCUGGGCAAGGCUUCCACAACCAGAAGCUUAAUGUCUAUGACUCUACUGUUCUUUCAACAAACCAGCAGGCUGUGGCUCAGCCUCUGAUCUCUGAUCUUGAUAGUUUAAACCAAGCAGAAGCCCGAAUGGAUGUCAGCUCUCCUGGAGAGGACAUGUUGGAGAAUGUAAUAGACGACUUGCAGCUUAACAAGACACAUGAUCAGCCGGAACACGAGACAUUCAGUUAUGAUAAGGCCAUUGUGAACCUGCAGACAGAGUUACAUAAAGCCCAGACGGAGAAGGACGUCUUGUCUGACCUCAGAUUGAAGGAUUCAACGAAACAUGUUGGUCAGAUGGAAACGAUGCUGUGCAUGCUGGAGGAGGUCCAAAAUAUCAAAAGGGCUGGGGACCAAAAGCUGCAAGAGACAGAGGACGAGAUGCUGGCACUUAACAGGAGAGUAGAAACACUGGAACGAAACAUUAAGGACAUGUACUCUUCAAUGUGUCUACAAUGUGAAGACGCCAUUACAAGGCCUAACAUGGCCUCUAGUUUAAGACCACUAUCUUCAGCUGCUAAAUUAACUGAGGAAUUAAACAAUGAGACUGACAAGCUACAGGAGAGACUUUUUAUGUCAGUAGGACACCUGGGGAGUGAAGAAUGCAGUGGCGUAAAUAAACAAAGAGAAAGAAUGGAAAACCUGAUUGCAAGUCUUGGCCAGGAGAUGGCACUGUUGACUGACAAACUAAACUCAUCAAAAAGUGACAGCCACACCUUAAGUGUCAAGUUGGAGCUGCUAAAGCAACUUGCAGAGAGGCAAACGUCACUGCACCAGUGUAACGUCAGUGAACUUAUGUCAACCCUCUCCAGCCAUAAAGAUAAGAUUUGUUGUCUGGAGCAGCAGCUCAUUCAGGCUCAAGACCAGCUAGCGAACGGCCAAAGGGAAAAAGAAGGAUCUUUACAACAGGCAGAGGCGCUUCAGUCCCAGCUUGGUCAACUUGAGAGGUGCAGUAAGCAGAUGCAGUGUAAGCUCCAAGAGGAGGUAAAGGCCCUGAGAAGACAGCUGGAGGCGGCCAGGGAGCAGCUUCGCAGAGGUGGGGAGGAGAAAACCUGCCUAGAGGCCCUGCUGGAGCAGAGGACCCAGGAGGGUAGAAUAUCUCUGGAACUCCUAGAGGAGAAAAAUAAGGAACUCCUGCUCAGACAGCAAGACGCCCAGCAGCAUCUUGCCAAGUUGAAAGAGGCUCAGAGCCAGUGCCAGACCCUGCACGUAGACAGAGAGACACUGAAGCUGAAGCUGGAUGACCAAGAGAAGACGAUAGAUAUUUUGAGGUUGCAGAUGGAGAGUAGCAUCCAGAUGACGGUGCAACACAGCCACACCAUUGACAGCCUUCAUCAAGAGAACAGUCUCCUCAGCAACCAGCUAAACCAGCACAAGUUGGAGAUUCAGCAGCUCAGGACUGAGUUAGACCAGCACAAGUCGGACCUGGCUGCUGCGGAUCACGAGAGGCGACGGCUACAGGCCUCUGUGGUCGAACAAAGUCACCGUGUCCAAGAGGAAACUGUGGAGAAACAGCAGCUCCACACCCAGCUGGAAGUCCAGCGCAUACAGUUACUCACCCUCACUAAGGAGCACAAGCAGCUGCAACAGCUCCACAGCUGUAAGAGCGAGGAGCACAAGGGUGUGGUGCUGAAGCUUCAGAGUCAGCUCAGGAAUUCCCAUGAUGAGCUGGACCAGGUCAAGAGCACCCUGAGGACCCUGGAAGGAGCUGAUGGACACGGCCUCCAAGCAGCCAUGGACAUGCAGGAGAAGAUCACCGCCAAGAGAGAGCAGAUCGACUCCCUGCAGAGCAAAGUCCAACAUUUAGAAGAGACUAUGGAGAAGCUGUACCAGGAGAAGCUCUACCAGGGUCUGGAGCAGCAGCGUCAGCUCCAGGAACUCACUUUUGUCAGGGAGGAGAAAAGACAACUCGGCAAUGAGCUGGAGGCCCUUCGCUCCAAAGAUAAACAGUUAAGGGAGCGGAUCAGCCAACUGGAGGCAAUCCUUCAUAAGAUGUCAGAAAGCUUUGCAGACUGUCAAGAUUUCAUCCAGCUGCAGGAGCAGGAGUUUUUCCGUCUGAAACUCCAGCAUGCCCUGGACUUGAAGGAGUUUCAAGGUCAAAAUUUGCACACAGCUCUGAAUGUACCUUCACCUGACCUGGUGUCCACGUCCCCAUCUGCACUCACUGCACCACCCGCCUCCCAGUACGCCGCCAACACCCAGACCACGCCAAAGAGGCAGCAGGAGAGCCCCGCCCGAGAGCUCUGGUCUCUCGUCAAAGAGCUGCGAGGGGUGAUUUCGGAGAACCAUAGACCACACACCGAUAACAGCGCUGCUGACAGCAGCUUUCACAGGAGGAGGUCUGAACCGGAGAGAGUGCACAGAACCACAUUUACACCAGCAGAAGUAAAAGCAGGCUCCAGGCCGAGAAGAAAAACCUGUGGCAGUGAGCCACAUUUCCUGAGGACAGCUGAGCUGAACGGGGAAAUAAUCGAGAACAAAUCCUUCAGUGAGAGUUGCAUUAUAUCAAGUCCAGCGACUGCAGCGAGGUACAUGUCCUCCCCACAGCUAUUGUCAUUGGGCCGCAAGUCACCCGUCCACUAUCUUCUGACCUCUGACCCAAGGGUGACCGACACGAUACAACAGACCUGAGGCUGGCUCCUCUUAUCAAUACUGAAUCAUGCUGUGUAUUAACUGAGAGGAAAAGCUGAAUAACAUCCACACAAAUGGCAAAUACCUCCAGUUGAUUAAUGACAGAUGAUAAGACAGACAGAUGUUUACUCACAUUGAUUAUUUCAUCAACUAUCGCUCUUUUUUUUUUAUUUGGAAAGACUCCCCAGAUGAAGUUGUCAAAUCAUGGUUUUAUAAAAUCACCAAUCAGGUGUGUUUUUGUAAUUUAUUGGUUACAUCAU